This 465-nucleotide ribosomal RNA is filed under the name uncultured bacterium. Its description in RNAcentral is "partial 16S ribosomal RNA". It matches the Rfam family "Bacterial small subunit ribosomal RNA", at positions 28 to 507 of the family's 1533-position model. The record is from RNAcentral.
GACGAACGCUGGCGGCGUGCUUAACACAUGCAAGUCGAACGGAAAGGCCCUGCUUGCAGGGUACUCGAGUGGCGAACGGGUGAGUAACACGUGGGUGAUCUGCCCUGCACUUCGGGAUAAGCCUGGGAAACUGGGUCUAAUACCGGAUAGGAGCCAUUUUUAGUGUGAUGGUUGGAAAGUUUUUUCGGUGUAGGAUGAGCUCGCGGCCUAUCAGCUUGUUGGUGGGGUAAUGGCCUACCAAGGCGGCGACGGGUAGCCGGCCUGAGAGGGUGGACGGCCACAGUGGGACUGAGAUACGGCCCAGACUCCUACGGGAGGCAGCAGUGGGGAAUAUUGCACAAGGGGCGCAAGCCGGAUGCAGCGACGCCGCGUGGGGGAUGACGGCCUUCGGGUUGUAAACUCCUUUCGCUAGGGACGAAGCUUUUUGUGACGGUACCUAGAUAAGAAGCACCGGCUAACUACGUG